This 288-nucleotide ribosomal RNA is filed under the name uncultured bacterium. RNAcentral describes it as "partial 16S ribosomal RNA". It matches the Rfam family "Bacterial small subunit ribosomal RNA", at positions 773 to 1060 of the family's 1533-position model. The record is from RNAcentral.
GUGGAUUAGAUACCCGGGUAGUCCACGCUGUAAACGAUGAAUACUAGGUGUAGGGGGUAUCAACUCCCCCUGUGCCGGAGCUAACGCAAUAAGUAUUCCGCCUGGGGAGUACGGCCGCAAGGUUGAAACUCAAAGGAAUUGACGGGGGCCCGCACAAGCAGCGGAGCAUGUGGUUUAAUUCGAAGCAACGCGAAGAACCUUACCAAGGCUUGACAUCCACUUAAACGCAUGGAAACAUGCGGUCUCUUCGGAGGAAGUGAGACAGGUGGUGCACGGUCGUCGACAACU